UUGCCAGAUUUAAAUAGUGAUCGCUAUGAAAGGCAAGGGUUGCGCAUAUUGUCUUAAUUCCUUAAGGUAGUUCUGGGCUUUUUCUUCUCAGCAGAAUGGUAUUGGUAUGCCUCCAGCAAGAGUGAGAGUGAGAAAGGGGAGGGAGAGUGAGAAUGAGAAUACAACAGAAUAGCUGCAUACAACCCACGGGUUUCCUAAUAGGAGAGUUGGUAGACACAAUCAGAAAGUCUCAUUGGAAGGGGAGGAUCCGGUGGCAAAGGGCGCACGCAGUGCCAUGGUAUCUGGGCGGGUGCAGAUGAGUCCUUGUGCUGGAAGUCAAUUCACUAAAAAAUAAUGUAAAUUCCCGGUUUUGAAAGCUUAUUGCUAUGGAAUCUGCUGCCUUGUAAAUGGAGGAGCCGGAAAUAUCACAGAAAACGUGUGAAAGGACAAAGUCAAAGAAUACUACAUUUUAAAAUGGUGUCUUUGCUGUAAGGAGCAGAGCAUUUCCAAAAACUCUUGGGAGCAUCUAAGGUCUCAGGUGAGCAAUGCCGCUGUUAGUUUUCCUCUUUGCCCAUGAUCUCCUCCCAUCACGCUGGCGUAAAUCUGCUCUGCGGUAGAGUCGAAUUAAGAUGGAGAAGGUUUGCUGCUCUCUGAGAACGAGUGAGAUUUUACUCUCACCAUCCUGGGUUACUGAUUCUGUUAGACCACUGUGUGUUUGCCAUCACAGAUGGAGGCAUCUUGUCUUCUUUAAAGAGAGGCAUCUGACAAUAUUGAAAUGUACCACUUGGCUAGGAGCAAGGUAUGUAUUUUCUGUUUAACUUUAUUCUGUUUCAAAAGUUACUUAUGCUGUUCAAGGGGGAGGGGAGGGAAACUUCCACUUCUAAGAUAUUUACAGUAACACUUUUCAAGAAAAAUAUGAAUAUUUAGCUUGAUAAUAGAAUUUAUUAUUUAAACUCAAAACUAUUUUACUGCUACAAGCAUUCCCUAUUCAUGAUCUUGGAGAAGUUAAAACAGGACUACCAGAAAAGGGUACUGUGCAGCUAGCUGUUUCCUAACUGCUGCCCUCUGGUGGUAAAUGAGGAAAUUUUUUGUUGUUAAAAAGCUUAUAUAAAAACGUUGAUCUCAAUGAUUUGAAAAGUCAGUGGGUAAACAUGUUUCUAAUGGAAUUAAUAUUAAACUAGGAGAGAGCUUUCCCUAGCAUAAAGAAGACAAGGAUAGUGGUAAAUCAUGAUUUAAAAAGGAUUCCGGCAUGGUGGACGUUUGGCCCAGCAUUUGACACCCAGCUUCUAUGUCAGAAUGCGAGGAUUUGAGCUCUGGCUCUGGUUCCCUCCACUUUCUUGCCAAGUCAGACCCUAUGAAGGGUAGGGUGUGCAGCAGUAGUGGCUCAAGAUGUUGGAUUCCUUUCACCUAUGUAGGAGACCUGGAUUGUGUUAC
RNAcentral lists this long non-coding RNA (1413 nucleotides) under Oryctolagus cuniculus (rabbit). Its description in RNAcentral is "lncRNA (ENSOCUG00000037230.1)". The record is from RNAcentral. Lineage: Eukaryota; Metazoa; Chordata; Mammalia; Lagomorpha; Leporidae.